CCUGUGGGGAGGUGUGUGCUGGCCCAUUGGGUCGGGCUAGACUUUCCUUUCUCUGCUGGACUCAGGAGGCAGCGGUUGUGGGUGCCGGGGCUUGUUGAUUCUGUGGGUGCAUUGCCACAUCCGUGACCGUGCAGCGGUGCCAGCACUGAGGCUGGCGGGCACCUACGCAGGAACCAGACUGAAGGCAGAGCCCCUCUCCUGCGCGUGCUCUCACCGACGCGUCUGGCACUGGGCUGUCCUCCCUUCCUGUGCAGGGACACUGCAAACACAGGCCUCCAGCCGCCUUUGCCCGGGGAUCCAGAGAUCAUAAAUUGCUCUCUUGCUUUCUGGGGGUCCAAGUUAGUGAUUUUGCCGACUUCCUGGAUGUUCAUUUCUGGUUCUGCACAAAAGAGUCACAUUUCCUUUUGGAAUCAGGACCAGGAGACAGAAGCGGACUCGGGAACUGUGAGUGCCCCCCGGUCUUCCCCGGCGCCUCUGACCCCUUCCUCCAUCUCGCCGCCUUCCCUGCCUUCAGCGCGGAGUUCCCUUUCUCCAGGGCUUCUUGUCUGAACUCACCCCCUCGGCUCUCAGCACCAUUCUCCACUUUUAGGAAAAGAAACUCUACAAUUUCUAUGCAAACAUCGGAUAAGAAGGGGAGGGGGAGUGACUUUGAUUUUCAUUUUAAGACUCUGAAAGACGGAGAAAGUAAGCAGAAGCGGGCUGGUGUAUUUCAGAGGCUCCCAGUGAGUCCCUACUAAAUUUACCUAAUAAAAUGAAUUUUUAAAAUUUUCGUUUUCUCAUUUCAUUCCAGCAGAAAAUGAGUUUGCCUUUAUAAUGUCCAGAUCUUUCCAACUCUAUUGAGUGAGAAAUUAACUUACAAAAUUUAAAUACUUUGGUACACAC
This 882-nucleotide long non-coding RNA is filed under the name Homo sapiens (human). Its description in RNAcentral is "HSALNT0235043". The record is from RNAcentral. Lineage: Eukaryota; Metazoa; Chordata; Mammalia; Primates; Hominidae.